This 127-nucleotide small nucleolar RNA is filed under the name Tauraco erythrolophus (red-crested turaco). RNAcentral's name for it is "Small Cajal body specific RNA 4". It matches the Rfam family "Small Cajal body specific RNA 4". From Rfam's summary of the family: scaRNAs are a specific class of small nuclear RNAs which localise to the Cajal bodies and guide the modification of RNA polymerase II transcribed spliceosomal RNAs U1, U2, U4, U5 and U12. ACA26 belongs to the H/ACA box class of guide RNAs as it has the predicted hairpin-hinge-hairpin-tail structure, conserved H/ACA-box motifs and is found associated with GAR1. The record is from Rfam by way of RNAcentral. Lineage: Eukaryota; Metazoa; Chordata; Aves; Musophagiformes; Musophagidae.
ACUGGAGGACUAAUCAGGCUGGGUCUGAAGAGUGAGACUCGGAUGAUAGUAGCCUCCUAAAGGAAAGGGCUGGAGAGAGCAGUCCUGCUUGCAGAAAGCAAAGGGCUGACUGUGCCAUCCGACACCC